CUCCUUUAAGAAAGGGAACGGUUCCUUAUGCAUAUUUAAGAAUGUUUGUCUGCAGCAGUGCCCAGCUGACGCGGGGCCGGAGGCUCACACGCGGGACCCGAAUUCUCGGGGAGUAAAUCAUCCGCGCUUUACACGCACCCUCUGCCAGGGCUCCAGUGGGGAGCCCCUUGCUAUUGCGCUAAACACAUGGGACUGGGACAAUAGCUGGAGUGGAUUAUUCAUUCCCGUAGGCAAUACUUCCCUGUAUGGGCGUCGGGAUGCAGUUGGAGGCUCGGGAACAAAGCGGGCAUCUAAUGUCAAGAAAACUCAGAACGAAAGGGGGGAUGCUGCUUGAAAGUGUGACUCAAAAAAAAAAAAAAACCCAAGAAGAAAGGUUUCGCUUUACAGCCAUCAGUAGCACCAGGAGACAGCUCCAUUAAAAAAGUAGUUUUCCACUGCUCUUGAAAAGCCGUUAUUUUUUACAUCGCUUUUAGGAAGAUAGAUUAACAAAACAUCACAUUUCAAGCCACUCUGAUCUGUAAUUAAAUGGAGGAGCCGGUUUGUAUUCUCCCAUGGCUUUUACAGAAGUUGCAGUGAUCCAAAGUCAGGUUGCUGUGUCAGAGUGGCAUUUUUAUUAAUGAGAAUACAAAAAGCUUGCAUAUUCUUAGCCCGGCUUGAAUUUAGUUGCUAAGCAACCGCUGUAUGGUAAUUCAUCCGCGAAAUUUAAAUCUUAGAGAAAGGAGUCUGCGUUUUCCUCAAUGGUCGCCACGAGGAAUACAACUUGUGGGACCCGCAGCAGCUGCCGCCGCGGCACCGCGCGGCCCGCCCGCCGGCUCCCCCCGGGGCUGCCCUGCUCCGCCGGGAGCUCCGGCCCGCCCGCCCCUCCCAUGCCGCCGCGCCCCGCCGCCCGGGCCGCCCCACCGGGGAGGGAGCGCGGCCGGGCACCGCAGGACGCCCCGUCGGCGCUGCCCCAGGACGGCCUUCCACGA
Molecule: long non-coding RNA, 968 nt
Organism: Pezoporus flaviventris
Lineage: Eukaryota; Metazoa; Chordata; Aves; Psittaciformes; Psittacidae
Exons: 3
Source: RefSeq, a predicted model, not a curated record